Long non-coding RNA from Nerophis ophidion (straightnose pipefish), 170 nucleotides. RefSeq lists it as uncharacterized. The transcript is spliced from 2 exons. The record is from RefSeq and is a predicted model, not a curated record. Lineage: Eukaryota; Metazoa; Chordata; Actinopteri; Syngnathiformes; Syngnathidae.
GCUCAUUUCAUUCUCUGUAUCUACUCUGUUCAUGCUCGUUUCAUGCCAUAGAUUCCUGCUCUGCCAAGUCCGGCUGGAAAUCGGGAGAAAUUUGGGAGAAUGGUUGUCCCGGGAGAUUUUCGCGAGAGGCAAUGAAGUACAGGAGUCCCUCGGAAAAUUUGGGAGUGUUG